AAAUUGAAGAGUUUGAUCAUGGCUCAGAUUGAACGCUGGCGGCAGGCCUAACACAUGCAAGUCGAACGGUAGCACAGAGAGCUUGCUCUCGGGUGACGAGUGGCGGACGGGUGAGUAAUGUCUGGGAAACUGCCUGAUGGAGGGGGAUAACUACUGGAAACGGUGGCUAAUACCGCAUAACGUCGCAAGACCAAAGAGGGGGACCUUCGGGCCUCUUGCCAUCAGAUGUGCCCAGAUGGGAUUAGCUUGUUGGUGAGGUAACGGCUUACCAAGGCGACGAUCCCUAGCUGGUCUGAGAGGAUGACCAGCCACACUGGAACUGAGACACGGUCCAGACUCCUACGGGAGGCAGCAGUGGGGAAUAUUGCACAAUGGGCGCAAGCCUGAUGCAGCCAUGCCGCGUGUAUGAAGAAGGCCUUCGGGUUGUAAAGUACUUUCAGCGGGGAGGAAGGUGUUGUGGUUAAUAACC
RNAcentral lists this ribosomal RNA (469 nucleotides) under Salmonella enterica. Its description in RNAcentral is "bacterial SSU rRNA". It matches the Rfam family "Bacterial small subunit ribosomal RNA", at positions 1 to 468 of the family's 1533-position model. Lineage: Bacteria; Pseudomonadati; Pseudomonadota; Gammaproteobacteria; Enterobacterales; Enterobacteriaceae. RNAcentral also lists the same sequence under 2 other names. The record is from RNAcentral.